Alosa alosa (allis shad) is the source of this 848-nucleotide long non-coding RNA. RefSeq lists it as uncharacterized. The transcript is spliced from 4 exons. Lineage: Eukaryota; Metazoa; Chordata; Actinopteri; Clupeiformes; Clupeidae. The record is from RefSeq and is a predicted model, not a curated record.
AUGAAAACAUAUAGCUCUUUUAACCACAAUUCAUGGUUAAGGGUGGGGUUGGAGGUCUAGAACCAUAAUCUUGUUCUGUUUAACCACAAUGAGGAAAAUACCUACGUCACAGGGAACUCUGCUUCAUAUCCUGCACAGAGAGCAUAUAAACAAAGCCCUGGAAGGAACCAGAUCGCCCCAGUAUCAGUUUUGAUCAAUUACUACAUUUCACAACAGAAGAAGCAAAAGGAGACUCUACAAUGCAGUUAUUUACACUUCCGAUAUCCAUUCUUUUGGUGGGCACAUGUGUCUCUUGUCCACUGCCAAAAAAUGUGACAUGGCCCUGUUUUAGGUGUGAAGAAAACUGUUCAAGACGUGAUAUUCACAAUUUUCAGAUAACAAUAAACAACAGUUUCAAGAUUAAUGAAAAAUAUAUGAAAAAGUCCAUAGCCACUUGGGUGUACGACAAGAAAGAUGAAAAUGAAAGAAGAAUUCCUAGAAUAAUCACACAUGCUAUCUGCCAUCCCAAAUGUAGAGGAAUUAGUUCUGGAAUGACAGUGCCAAUUCAACAGCAAGUUGAUGUUUACUACCAAACACAAUGUGAACGAAGACAAUUCUACAAACUUGAAAAAUAUACAGAAAAGAUCAACCUGGGUUGCACUUGUGUUGUGAAAUAAGUGUAUAAACUGGCGUGUAAAGAGCACCAUUAUUUUAAUGCAUUUUACUGGUCUCUGUUUUCUGUAAAGAUCGCUGAUCAUGAUCAAGAUCAUAUUGGUCGACGUGAAGAAUAUACUGUUUUCGUAAAACACAUCAGUUGUGCUCUGCUGUUCAUUUGGUCUAAAGUACUCUGAAUAUAUGAAACACAAUGA